RNAcentral lists this ribosomal RNA (514 nucleotides) under uncultured bacterium. RNAcentral's name for it is "bacterial SSU rRNA". It matches the Rfam family "Bacterial small subunit ribosomal RNA", at positions 773 to 1290 of the family's 1533-position model. The record is from RNAcentral.
AGGAAAUAGAUACCCCGGUAGUCCACGCCCUAAACGAUGUCGACUAGGUGUUCGGUGAGGAGACUCAUUGAGUACCGCAGCUAAACGCGUGAAGUCGACCGCCUGGGGAGUACGGUCGCAAGAUUAAAACUCAAAGGAAUUGACGGGGACCCGCACAAGCGGUGGAUGAUGUGGAUUAAUUCGAUGCAACGCGAAAACCUUACCUACCCUUGACAUGUACGGAACCCUGCUGAGAGGUGGGGGUGCUCGAAAGAGAGCCGUAACACAGGUGCUGCAUGGCUGUCGUCAGCUCGUGUCGUGAGAUGUUGGGUUAAGUCCCGCAACGAGCGCAACCCUUGUCAUUAGUUGCUACGCAAGAGCACUCUAAUGAGACUGCCGGUGACAAACCGGAGGAAGGUGGGGAUGACGUCAAGUCCUCAUGGCCCUUAUGGGUAGGGCUUCACACGUCAUACAAUGGUCGGUACAGAGGGUUGCCAAGCCGCGAGGUGGAGCCAAUCCCAGAAAGCCGAUCGUA